GCGGGUGUGCUGGAAUUGGCAGACAGGCUAGCUUGAGGUGCUAGUGUUCGUAUGGACGUGCGGGUUCAAGUCCCGCCUCGCGCA
This 84-nucleotide transfer RNA is filed under the name Firmicutes bacterium CAG:129. It matches the Rfam family "tRNA". From Rfam's summary of the family: Transfer RNA (tRNA) molecules are approximately 80 nucleotides in length. Lineage: Bacteria; Bacillati; Bacillota. The record is from Rfam by way of RNAcentral.